CAAUAAUUUCUCGAAAAUAGUGUGCAUCUGUUUGCUUAGAUGUGAAAAUGGAGGAAACUAACAUACCACUAGUUACUUCAAUUAUACCUUCAAAUGCUUAUUUCGAUGAUAUGAAUGCGAUACAUGAUGUGAAAAGCUUCGUAAAGAAAUUCAAUUACGAAUCGAAAAAGUUAUGGUACCUAGCAGGAUCUGACAUUUUCACUUACCUUUGCCAAUACUCAUUAGGUGCUGUUACUCAAAUCUUUGCUGAUCAUGUUGGAACCAUUUAACUUACUGCUGUUUCUAUCCAAAUCCUUGUUAUUGCUGGAUUUUCAGACGUAAUACUGCUUAGAGCUUUGGUAUUUUAUGUCUUUGAUUCUCGUCGCAGGAUAUGUUGAGGAUGCAGAAAUUGCCCUAGAUGCUACUUCCAUAUGUAUAAACAUAUUAGGAUGGACAUUCAUGUUGAGUAUAGGAUUCAAUGUUGGAAUAAGUGUAAGGGUAUCAAAUAAACUAGGAGCAGGACAUCCAAGAAGAGUAAAAUUCUCAGUGUUGGUGGUGUCAAUCACUUCACUUGUUAUUGGUACCUUGUCAGCACUUGUACUCAUUCUUAUACGAAGCCAAUAUCCAUUUUUUUUCACAGGUAAUGUCAAAGUACAAAAUAUGGUAUAUGACUUUACUCCUGUAUUGGCACUAGUGUCUAGUCCUCUUCAUCAACAUGCUCCAACCUAUACUC
Molecule: RNA transcript, 712 nt
Organism: Solanum stenotomum
Lineage: Eukaryota; Viridiplantae; Streptophyta; Magnoliopsida; Solanales; Solanaceae
Gene name: protein DETOXIFICATION 29-like
Exons: 4
Source: RefSeq, a predicted model, not a curated record